GACGAACGCUGGCGGCGUGCCUAAUACAUGCAAGUCGAACGCAGUGGGGACGGGUGAGUAACACGUGGGUAACCUCCCUUCAGAGGGGAUAACACUUGGAAACAGGUGCUAAACCGAUACUGAUGGAUGGACCCGCGGUGGAUUAGCUAGUUGGUGAGGUAACGGCUCACCAAGGCCACGAUGCAUAGCCGACCGGAGAGGGUGAUCUGACACAGUGGGACUGAGACACGGCCCAGACGCCUACGGAAGGGAGCAGUAGGGAAUCUUUGGCAAUGGACGAAAGUCGGACCGAUCAACGCCGCGUGAGUGAAGAAUGUUUUCGGACCUUAAAACUCUGUUGUUAGAGAAGCGGUAUCUAACCAGAAAGCCACGGCUAACUACGUGCCAGCCGCCGCGGUAAUUC
RNAcentral lists this ribosomal RNA (403 nucleotides) under uncultured bacterium. RNAcentral describes it as "partial 16S ribosomal RNA". It matches the Rfam family "Bacterial small subunit ribosomal RNA", at positions 28 to 526 of the family's 1533-position model. The record is from RNAcentral.